GUGCCCGUAGCUCAGUUGGAUAGAGUGUUGGCCUCCGAAGCCAAAGGUCGCUGGUUCGACUCCAGUCGGGCACGCCA
RNAcentral lists this transfer RNA (77 nucleotides) under Sulfuricella sp. RNAcentral's name for it is "tRNA-Arg". It matches the Rfam family "tRNA". Rfam says of the family: Transfer RNA (tRNA) molecules are approximately 80 nucleotides in length. Lineage: Bacteria; Pseudomonadati; Pseudomonadota; Betaproteobacteria; Nitrosomonadales; Sulfuricellaceae. The record is from RNAcentral.